RNAcentral lists this long non-coding RNA (329 nucleotides) under Lupinus mutabilis. Its description in RNAcentral is "partial ncRNA". The record is from RNAcentral. Lineage: Eukaryota; Viridiplantae; Streptophyta; Magnoliopsida; Fabales; Fabaceae.
CCACCAUCACCUGUGGUUAAGCCUCCAUACUAUUACAAAUCUCCACCUCCACCAUCCCCUUCUCCACCACCUCCUUACUACUACAAGAGUCCCCCUCCACCAUCACCAUCUCCUCCUCCUCCAUACUAUUAUCAAUCCCCACCACCACCGUCACCAGUGGUUAAGCCUCCAUACUACUACAACUCUCCCCCACCACCCUCUCAUGUGGUUAAGCCUCCAUACUACUACACUUCCCCACCUCCACCAUCACCUUCUCCUCCACCUCCUUACUACUACAAGAGCCCCCCUCCACCAUCACCCUCUCCACCUCCUCCAUACUAUUAUAAAUC